UACGUAGGUGGCAAGCGUUGUCCGGAUUUACUGGGCGUAAAGAGCGCGCAGGCGGUCGUUCAAGUCGCGUGUGAAAGCCCCCGGCUCAACUGGGGAGGGUCACGCGAUACUGAUCGACUCGAAGGCAGGAGAGGGUAGUGGAAUUCCCGGUGUAGUGGUGAAAUGCGUAGAUAUCGGGAGGAACACCAGUGGCGAAAGCGGACUUCUGGGUUGUUACUGACGCUGAGGUACGAAAGCGUGGGGAGCAAACGGG
Molecule: ribosomal RNA, 253 nt
Filed under: uncultured bacterium
Lineage: Bacteria
Description: partial 16S ribosomal RNA
Rfam family: Bacterial small subunit ribosomal RNA
Source: RNAcentral